RNAcentral lists this ribosomal RNA (58 nucleotides) under Beauveria bassiana. RNAcentral describes it as "partial 28S rRNA". It matches the Rfam family "Eukaryotic large subunit ribosomal RNA", at positions 1 to 56 of the family's 3401-position model. RNAcentral also lists the same sequence under 1 other name. Lineage: Eukaryota; Fungi; Ascomycota; Sordariomycetes; Hypocreales; Cordycipitaceae. The record is from RNAcentral.
GUUGACCUCGAAUCAGGUAGGACUACCCGCUGAACUUAAGCAUAUCAAUAAGCGGAGG